This 253-nucleotide ribosomal RNA is filed under the name uncultured bacterium. RNAcentral's name for it is "partial 16S ribosomal RNA". It matches the Rfam family "Bacterial small subunit ribosomal RNA", at positions 524 to 776 of the family's 1533-position model. The record is from RNAcentral.
UACAGAGGUGGCAAGCGUUGUUCGGAAUUACUGGGCGUAAAGGGCGCGUAGGCGGCUUGGUCAGUCCCGUGUGAAAUCCCUCGGCUCAACUGAGGAACUGCACGGGAAACUGCCUGGCUUGAGUUCGGGAGAGGGAAGCGGAAUUCCGGGUGUAGCGGUGAAAUGCGUAGAGAUCGGCAGGAACACCAGUGGCGAAAGCGGCUUCCUGGCCCAGACCUGACGCUCAAGUGCGAAAGCUAGGGGAGCGAACGGG